RNAcentral lists this long non-coding RNA (3444 nucleotides) under Xyrichtys novacula (pearly razorfish). Lineage: Eukaryota; Metazoa; Chordata; Actinopteri; Labriformes; Labridae. The record is from RNAcentral.
AAAUAAAUAAGUAAAAAAAAAAAAUCGCCUUAAUGACAUUCUAUAGACUUGACGUGUCACUAUGGCGUCACUAACGUCACCAUAACAUCAACAGAAGAAGAGUGCGCGCGUGGCUGGAUGACUAACAGCUUCGGCGUAAAGGUCUGUUGCCUUGACGACACUCGAGGUAAAGGAGGUAGAAAGAGGAGACGACACGGAGGAUGUGAGGAGGAGGAGGAGGAGGAGGAGGACGGGGUGUCUGUCACUGAAUCUUGGCGGUUCAUUAGUGGAGGAAUCAGGUAAAUUAAAACAGGCAAAAACCGGAUUCAUGACCACUACAGAACUUUGAGCAGUGGUAGCAUAACGGCUAAGACUGCUAAUGCUAAUAUUGCUAAUCAGUUUCACCACCUUUAGCUUGCUGCAGCAGCCUACCACCGAAAUAUACUACCACUACACUAAUCCAACGACUAAUACCCCAUUAGUAUUUCAUUGUCUCUUAUCUAUGAUUGAGAUAUUGCUCAAGAGUUUUGACAAAGUUACUGGGCAUGUGCCCAGCAAAGUAAACAACAGUAUGCAAUUUAGAAAUUACAUUUAAAAGGUAUGAAGAAAGUACGAGGCUACUGAUAUCCCUUGCUUAAAGACAGGCUACUCAACUUACUAACAGUAUAACUUUAGCACAUAGCCAUAGACUGUAUAUAAAAUGGAGAAUGUCUGUCUCCUCACUGGGUGAAGCCACUCCGAGAACAGCACCCUCUGUUGACGGGCUGCAGUAUAGGUCACAAAUCCCGCCUCAGCCAGCAGUUCCUAUGGAGCUGUGGACAAUGUUUAGAAAUUUAUUACACAGAAUAUAAUUUUUUCUCCCCCCUGCUUGUGAUGUUAACAUGUAGUUAUUGUAAGACUGGUUUGUGCUCAAGUCCUCUUUUUCUGUACAGCUCCAUUUUAAAAGUUAUUAGGGGUUCAUGUUUUCUAUGAUUGACACUUGAAACAGCCUAUGGGCGUUCAGGGAUUGUGUAGCUCACCCGGGGGAUAUGCUGUUUGAGCCGAGCGUCAUCACAGCAACUCUCGGCGACUCUCCCGAGUCGCACAAUGCUACUGCGCAAGUGGUGGAGAGUGUACAACCAGUGGCGGUUCUAGACCAAAUUACUCCCCGGGCGAGCACACACCCCCCCCCCCCCCACACACACACACACACACACACACACACACACACACACACACACACACACAAACAAACAAACAAACACAAAAAGAGAUAGAAUUUUGAACAGAUAGUUUUGUAUUAUUAUCUAGUAUUAUUAUGAUUAGAACAACAAAAAUAAAAUAUUUCUCAAUUGCAGAAAUCCUUCAAUAGAAAAAAACACAAUCCUGAGGGCCAUUUUGAGAAGGUCUCCCAGAUCCUGAGGUUUUCUGACGUGUUAAGGUUUACAAAAAAGCUGUUAUCUCGGCCUCUGUAGUAGAUAGAAACAAAAUUCAAAAAGUAUUUGAGAGCUUAUACACGUGGCUUUCAAGAAAGCUCUCUUUUAGUUUUGCAGACCUUCAUCACAUUUUUUAAACCUUGAACAAACAAACUUAAAUGAAAUAAAGCGGCUGCAUAAAUAAAAGUAAAGGCUCUGCACUGGAGAAUGACAAAUAAUUUGUUUUCUGUAAAACAAGUGUCAGUCAUGAUAAAGUGUCCAUUCAAUACAAAUGUAAAUAUAGAAAAUAAGGUGUUGAAAGGGUAUACAGCUGCCCCAGUAUACUGCCAGUACAAAAGCAGAACUAAAAACUAAAAAAUGAAUAAAUAAAUACGUGGCUGACAGUGUGUUCAUCUCUGUUCUCACCCAAAGUCAUGCAACACUCAGAGAAAACGCUGAUAGUGUGAGCCAAAGCACUCCCUAUGAAGAGGUUGUUCACACUGCUGGAUGUUUCUCCUCUGAAGCUGCUCUCUGCCUCAGUCAUUGUUUACUUUACUCAUGAAGCUCAUCAAGCACGUAGCAAGAUCCGAGCAUGAACCCGAGCGCUUUAUUCGCCUAUCGAAGGCAGACGGGUACGGUGAUUUGAUUCACCACGACUCUAGAAAUGAUUAAAAAACUACAAAAUGACGUCUCCGCGCUCCUGGCAGAGUAGAAAUGCGCAGCCGCGCUCCCGCUGAUACGCUGACAUGCGUACACAGAGCAGAGCUGUCCCCCCGCGACCCUCUCCCCGCCUCGUCUCACACAGUCUGUCAGCCUCUGUGCAGCACCUUCGGCGCAAGCAGGGGCGCUUACAGCAGCGGGGGGCGCCAAUUUGACAACAAGAGUUAAUACAAAACCGCUUUGCGGUUAAGAUUUAUCAUUAUUAUCUUUUAUUUUAUUUUUUUGGAAGUGCUCGUGCCGCCCCCCAUGAGUCAUGACACAAAUGCCGCCCCGGGCGGCUGCCCUGUUCGCCCGUGCCUAGAACCGCUACUGUGUACAACAAUACUGCGCAAUGUUGGUUUCAGGAAAUGGAGAGAAAACGCAGAAUUGACUUUGUAUAAAAAGGGCAUUCCAGAGCGGCUGAGUCUCUCAGAGAGGCUGGUUGCCUCUCUGGUCUCUCUGUGGUCUCUCUGUGAGAGACUGCAUGAGCAAAUAGUUCAACAAUUUCAGAAAAAUACUCCUCAGUGUAAUACCACAAAGACUUUGUGGAUUUCAGGCAGUAAAAUGUUAUAACAGAUGGAGACAAUCUCAAGGAACCUCUGUAAAAAUAGGGAACAAGGUUAAAACCAAUACUGGCUGGAAACCACUGGUUUGAAAACGGCCUUGCUCUGCAGUGAAAAUUGCUGAAUGGGCUUAAAAUCACUUCCAAAAACCAUUGUUUUGUGAUCACAGUUUGUCACUGCAUCCACAAAAGCAGGUUAAAACCACGUCACACAAAAUGAAAACUGGUUACAAACAUUUGAUAUGCUCUCUUUGCACUUAAAUAGGAUCAAUCGAGGAGCGACCCUAAAUAGGAUUUCUUGAUUUGCAAAUCAAGAAAUUAUAUUUUCAUUUACAUUUUACACAACAAUCAUUGAAAAAUAAUGAUGGUACUGAUUAUUUUAUUCUAAUGCACACCAUAUAUGUUAUCCCUCUGAACUGUCUUUUUUUUUCUAUAACAGAGGAGGUAUUGGUGCCAGCUCCUUACUAAGUCCCUAGAGGGCACUGUAGCCUCAGUCUUACUCCACAUCUGAUCAAAAGAGUUCAGCCUCAAGCAGCAGCUGCAUCAGAGGUGUCCAACCUGUGGUCUGUGGCUCAGGUGGGUUAUUUUGGGGUCUGGGACACGGAUGGUGAGGGGCAACAUGAAGAGAUAGAGGGUUAUAGGGGUGCUUGUCUCUAUAUUUAGACAAUUUAGAGCAGAGGUGCGUAUUCGAAAUAUUGAUUUGAGUUGUUCAGAAAUCAUGCAGAUAGGGGGCUUGUGUUUUGCAGGAUUUCUUGUGUGUGUGUUUGUGUGUGUCUGUCUGUAUGUGUGUGUUUGUGUGUGUGUGUGUGU